Molecule: long non-coding RNA, 699 nt
Organism: Phyllostomus discolor (pale spear-nosed bat)
Lineage: Eukaryota; Metazoa; Chordata; Mammalia; Chiroptera; Phyllostomidae
Exons: 2
Source: RefSeq, a predicted model, not a curated record
GCCCUCCCUGGACGUAACCGUCGGCCCCGAAGGGACCCUCUCGGGUGACACCGAAAGGCCCCCAGCCAAUGCGCUAGCCGCCACCCCCUGCUGCACCACGUGCCGGAGUCCUAGUAAAAGCUUGGGCGCCGAGGUCCCAGCCCCGGGUUCUGCCACGCGCUACGCGACGCGGGCAGCUGGAGCCGCUGCGGAGAGGGGCGAGGGGUGCCGGGCAAAGCAGGUCCGCGGGGACAGUGUCUUGCGGAGAGUUAGCCCCGGGCAAGCACGCCCCACCCGGAGGAACGGUCGUGGACCAGUGAGCUUGAACUCAAAGGGCUCUCUUUCCCUCAGCUGCCAUGUGAGUGCAGGCAACGGUGAGCAACCACAGGUACAACAAAGAAAGGAGUGCUGGUAUUUAUGCCCCCAGGCUCCCUAGCCGAGGCACCACUGCAGGCUGGCUGCAUCCCUCAACCAAAGGUCACAGUUCUGCUUCAGGAUAACCCAGGGUACAUUCCGUGUGGUCUCUCUACAUUUAUCCCACACCCUUGCAAACAGUCUUUUUAUUAAACUCUACUCAAAUUAUCCAUUAGGAAUUUAUCAUCCCAUUCCUGCUAGGACCUUAACAGAGUCAGUCCUUCACAGAAUUGUUUUGGCUGAAAGUUAAUUGAAAAGUCAUAGGUAUGCUAUUAUUGUUGUCUAAAUUUAAAAACCUUUGAGAUU